GGAGGCGUCAUUCGUAGUGACUACCUGCAGUCGAGCGGUAGCACAGACAUCUUGCUGUCGGGUGGCUGAGCCGGCGGAGGGUGAGUAAUGUCUGGGAAACUGCCUGAUGGAGGGGGAUAACUACUGGAAACGGUAGCUAAUACCGAAAAAUGUCGCAGGACCAAAGUGGGGGACCUUCGGGCCUCAAGCCAUCAGAUGUGCCCAGAUUGGAUUAGCUGGUGGGUGGGGUAACGGCUCACCUAGGCGACGAUCCCUAGCUGGUCUGAAAGGAUGACCAGCCACACUGGAACUGAGACACGGUCCACACUCCUACGGGAGGCAUCAGUGGGGAAUAUUGCACAAUGGGCGCAAGCCUGAUGC
This 360-nucleotide ribosomal RNA is filed under the name Klebsiella pneumoniae. RNAcentral describes it as "bacterial SSU rRNA". It matches the Rfam family "Bacterial small subunit ribosomal RNA", at positions 43 to 389 of the family's 1533-position model. The record is from RNAcentral. Lineage: Bacteria; Pseudomonadati; Pseudomonadota; Gammaproteobacteria; Enterobacterales; Enterobacteriaceae.